Homo sapiens (human) is the source of this 2179-nucleotide long non-coding RNA. Ensembl annotates it as FTX transcript, XIST regulator. Its record names the gene FTX. NCBI's taxonomy places the organism in Eukaryota, Metazoa, Chordata, Mammalia, Primates, Hominidae. The record is from Ensembl.
UUCCGAUCUUGGGUCGCUGUACUUGGCUCUGAAUACAGUCACCCCAUCAGAGUAGCAAAACACUGUGGUUGUAGUGUGAGAAUCCAAUGUUAAUGUUGGCCGAAAGCUCUUGAUUUUCUUCCCUGAGAACAUAGGCGUGAGGAUUUGGAUGUGUUUCCAAAUGCUUGUUACUCUUUGCCGUAAACCUGGAAUUUGGACCUAUGGCUGCCUGGGACUCAUACUGUCGUGGAGAAAGAUUGAAAAGUAGUUAAUGGCAGUGGUGGUAUGAAGCAUGAAUACCAGCACAGCCCAACUAUGUGUAAGCAGAUCUGUGCAGGAAUGAGAGUCCCAGGGAGAGAAUCCACGUUGUUUCUGAAAGAAAAUGGCUAUAGCUCACUGUUGUUUACUGGAAAUAGUAGGGGGAAGGAAAGAUGGAAGUCCAGGUCCAGUGUCAUAUACUGCCCUGCACCUUACUCACUUCUCUGCCUUUAGGGUGAUGCCACACUCAAUCAGAAACUAUGCUACUGCUGAAGAGGUAUAUUGAGCCCUGCCUGGUUAACCUCCAGUGAGGUUAUUAGAGAAUUGGGAGAGGCUCAAAUCAGCAUCCUGCACCUAGUUAUCAAACCAUUGUGAAGUCUUGAUUCCUGGAUGGCCAGAAAACUUGUCAUUGGUCAAGAGCAACAUUAAGAUCUGCCUGUUACUCAUACUGAUGCUUCCUGCCCAGCAAGUUCAUCAGAGGGCGAGGAUGAAUUACGGUUGCCAUGAAUGUCCUUGUGAGGCAGUUGGGAAGCCUUGGCUGGAUUGUGAAGGAUAUUUGAAAAGUAUUUUAGAGUCCACCAGAUCAUCCAUGUGAGUGACCAUGCAGCAAAAGAAGGAGGGUCCUCUCAGUGAUUAAGGAUUAUGAAGUAUUAAUUCUUCCACUGAUAUCUCAAAAGGUGAUCUGGACAAAGGAACAGGUAUCUCAGAACAGUGGUUGGUAGGAUGGCGGAGACAUGGACUUCAGAGAGUUCUUGGUAGAAGACUCAAAGAGCCACCUGUCAUGAGACAUCCCACUUCCUUCCCCAGGUUACUUCCAAGACUGAGCAGCCAGGUUUUUGGUAGAUGAGAACAAAUGUUUCUUCCUGAAGCCCUGGGGCUUCAGGUAGGAAGAAGGACUGCUAUACUUGUUCUCACCCUUGGCUUCUGGCUGCUCCAGUUAAACAUGGUUCCCAUUGAUACAGACAUUAGAGUGGGAAAGGACUUCGUUCAUAGACCGAAGACCCUCAAAGGAAAGUCCUUCCAUUUUGGGAAGGGUGACAUUGAUUUCGUUUAGCUGCUUAAGAUAUGUACUUGCUGUUGUCUUGUGAGACAUGACAUCUGAAGCUGAAGAGGAGUCCCUCUCAUUGUUGUCAUUGUCCCACCGGGACUGAAAGUCUCCCAGUUGAGGCAGCAUUUUAGCUUUGAUGUCUACAGGGCAAUCAUGGAUCAGGAAAUUUCUGCAAAUUAGACUUGGAAAACAAGGUCUUGAUCCUUCUUGUCUUUGGACGAAGACUAAUCAUCACUUUUGACUGAAGGUGUAGUGCUGGAGACUAUGUUGGAGGCAGCACCUGAUGCACUAUCCAUAUUCUUCCCCUUGAUCUUGUCUUAAAGUUUUCCAAAUGGAUUCCGAGGCUUGUCUUUGAUGAAAAGGUCAAACAUACUGGCAGUCAUGUUGUUUCUCAUAAGCUGGAUGUCAACCUCAAUUUCUCCUCUUUAUCCUUCUCUCCUGGUUUGGAUUUCAAGGUAUACCACCGCAUCUUCCUGCUCCCCUAGUCUGGGUGCAGGUCCUGCAGGUACACCUCGGCGAAGCCCAAGUACAGUAGCAGCAGCACCUCAAAGGUGGCCUCCUCCUCUGACACUGAGGUGGCAUACUUCUCCUUACCCACCUGAAUCACCGAGUACAUGUUGCUUGUACCGUCAGGCUCUUGGUUCUUGGCCCCUGGCCCUAUGCCUGCAACACUGUCACCUGCACGUGGAUUGGGAACCACAUAGCCCCCGGACCUGCUAAGGCCAUUAAGGACAGGAUGGUGAUGCCUCGGCUGACUGACGUGAGAAGAUUGUCAUGACCCAUGGCCUCUACUGCUGUCCUACCAACAGAAACUUCAUAAUGUUGUGCAGGCGUUACCACUACCUAGUUCCAGAACAUUGCCAUCACCCCCAAAAUAAAUCUUGCAUUCAUUAA